CCUACGGGAGGCAGCAGUGGGGAAUAUUGGGCAAUGGGCGCAAGCCUGACCCAGCAACGCCGCGUGAAGGAAGAAGGCCCUCGGGUUGUAAACUUCUUUUAUCAGGGACGAAACAAAUGACGGUACCUGAUGAAUAAGCCACGGCUAACUACGUGCCAGAAGCCGCGCUAAUACGUAGGGGGCAAGCGUUAUCCGGAUUUACUGGGUGUAAAGGGCGUGGAGGCGGGAGAGCAAGUCAGACGUGAAAUUCCAGGGCUCAACCCUGGAACUGCGUUUGAAACUGUUCUUCUUGAGUGAUGGAGAGGCAGGCGGAAUUCCGUGGGUAGCGGUGAAAUGCGUAGAUAUACGGAGGAACACCAGUGGCGAAGGCGGCCUGCUGGACAUUAACUGACGCUGAGGCGCGAAAGCGUGGGGAGCAAACAGGAUUAGAUACCCCAGUAGUC
RNAcentral lists this ribosomal RNA (443 nucleotides) under uncultured bacterium. RNAcentral describes it as "partial 16S ribosomal RNA". It matches the Rfam family "Bacterial small subunit ribosomal RNA", at positions 338 to 795 of the family's 1533-position model. The record is from RNAcentral.